AGCGAUUGAGCGACUUCACUUUCACUUUUCCCUUUCAUGCACUGGGGAAGGAAAUGGCAACCCACUCCAGUGUUCUUGCCUGGAGAAUCCCAGGGACGGGGGAGCCUGGUGGGCUGCCGUCUCUGGGGUCGCACAGAGUCAGACACGACUGAAGCGACUUAGCAGCAGCAGCACUCUUAAUGCUUUCUAAUAUGGUACAGGUUGAAAUACUCAAUGAUUACUUAGGCCUGUUAAACGACACUUCCUUGAAUGAAGUGGACUAAUACUUUCCCAGAUUAACUUCCGAUUCCAGAAUGUUACUUUUACAUUAAUGGAUGUCUUCAACUCUUGUCCUUUCCAGAACUCUGAUUUCUGCCCAUAUGUUAACACUAACCCAAUUUUGCUGCCAGGCUAUUCAGGUUUUCUUAGGUCAAAAAUCUAAAAUUUCUUUUAAGCUUUAAAAAAAGACUGUUUUUCCCCCAAGGCAACAAAACCUCAGUAUCAUCAUUUAAAAAAUAUAUGAAAUGAAAAUAACAUAUGGAAAGAGCCUGAUGCAGAACUAAAGGAAGCCUGCAGGAAGCGGUGAUCCCUCUGCUGGCCACCUAAACUUGGCCAAGUCUGCACUUGUUCACCAAUAUCACCUUGGGGAACAGCACUACCCAGGUUCAUGGGUUUCUUCCUCAAUGGAGGUCAGCCAGGGAGUUACAGGGCUGCUACUUAAUCGUUCCCUUUCCUUAACCUUCUUUUCCUCUUGAGGGCAGAGUCUGGGGACUCUCAGUAAACCCCUUGACAGGAAAGCUGGCAGGUGGGUAGCACCCCAUGCUGGCCCCUCCGCUUUAUAGGCCUGUUGCCUCUGAAGAAAACCUCACACAGGCCACGACUUGUGUUUUUCCCGCUUCACCGCAGUGGAAGGAAGAGAACGCCACUGGGAGACAAUCCGCGGUACCAAAGAAACCUCCCUCUUUUCUGAUAUGGCUCUCUCCCAGUCCACAGCCUGAAGCUCCAAGGCGCCCUCCCCCAACCCACGAGACAUCAAAGAUGGCGCCAGGCCCGCGCGGCUGGAGGUCACCGGCAGGCGGAAGGGGCAGCCCUAACGCGCGGGGAUACGGGGGCAAGGGAGGACGUGAGGACCCAGGUGGGAGCACGCGAGCCAUCUCCGGGACCUCAUUUCUGCCUAGCAACAUCACAACCAAUCAAGAUGCAACUAGGCCUGGCAGUUCGGCUCAUCCUUCACUGGGAUUGGCUGCUGGCGGUGAGCGCAUCCUAAGUUUUCAUUGGCUGACGGCCACCUGUAUGGAAAUGAGAAUGACAGGGGACUCUCAGCGCCUUCUCUGCUACGUGGACCUGUGGCUUACUGCACUGAAACCUGCAAGCUCAGAGCCAGAACUCCUGGGCUUUUUUCUGCCUUCUCUCCU
Molecule: long non-coding RNA, 1394 nt
Filed under: Bos grunniens (domestic yak)
Lineage: Eukaryota; Metazoa; Chordata; Mammalia; Artiodactyla; Bovidae
Description: lncRNA (ENSBGRG00000003638.1)
Source: RNAcentral